UUUCGCAAUGCCCGAAAGGGUGACGAAGCGACGCCGCGUGAGCGAAGAAGGCCUUAGGGUUGUAAAGCUCUGUCAGAGGUUAAGAAAUGUAAACAGGUUAAUACCCUGCUUAUUUGACAAAAGCCUCAAAGGAAACCACGGCUAACUCUGUGCCAGCAGCCGCGGUAAUACAGAGGCGGCAAGCGUUGUUCGGAAUUAUUGGGCGUAAAGAGCACGUAGGCGGCCUUGCAAGUCAGUUGUGAAAGCCUUCCGCUCAACGGAAGAAUGCCAGCUGAUACUACAGGGCUUGAGUACGGGAGGGGAGAGUGGAACUUCUGGUGGAGCGGUGAAAUGCGUAGAUAUCAGAAGGAACGCCGGCGGCGAAAGCGAUUCUCUGGCCUAUAACUGACACUGAGUGUGCGAAAGCUAGGGGAGCAAACGGGAUUAGAUACCCCGGUAGUCCUAGCCGUAAACGAUGGGCACUAAGUAGAGGGGUUUUA
RNAcentral lists this ribosomal RNA (479 nucleotides) under uncultured bacterium. RNAcentral's name for it is "bacterial SSU rRNA". It matches the Rfam family "Bacterial small subunit ribosomal RNA", at positions 364 to 833 of the family's 1533-position model. The record is from RNAcentral.